UAGUGGAUGAAAAAAAAUCUGCCAGUAAACAAUUACCGGCAAUGUUCAUACCGUCCGACAGUAUCAGAGAACUUUCUUGUAGUGAAAGCGAUGUUAUUUGUGCCAAGGCAACCCAACUUUUCGAGGUUGAGGGCGCUAAAUCCACCAUCAAAGGGAGUAGAAAGAUUCUUCAUAGCGAUGAUUUCAUAUUAUAUUGUGUCACGCAUUUGGCAGAUUCAUGGAUAAGGCAACACCGAUGACAGACAAUGACGAGGCGAGUCCAAUGAAGCAGUGGCGACUCUGCACGGUAACAAGUUGAGGAAGCAAAAUGUGUGCGAAGAAUGUUACCGGUGUGGCUAUGCACAAUAAUCUACUCGGUUGUAUUCCCAUAAAUGGCUUCUCUGUUUGUUGAGCAAGGUGAUGUGAUGAAGUCCAACAUUUGCCAGCGCCCAGCGGCAAGCAUGUCAGCAUUUGACAUAUGCAGUGUCCUAGUGUGCACCUGUAUUUAUCGCCAUAAUAUUGAGUUACAUUAAGUUGCUGUAGUGAGUGUAAUUAACGCUUUUGCCCAUUAUUCAAAUGCCAAUUUAUUACCAAAAUGGAUUGAGGAUCCAUUAAAAUGCAAUACUGUAUGGUAUUCAUUAGGAAUUGAUUGGUUGAAUAAUUGUGUUUUUAUGAGUGAU
RNA transcript from Arachis stenosperma, 659 nucleotides. It is a transcript of the gene named protein NRT1/ PTR FAMILY 7.1-like, with no coding region annotated. The record is from RefSeq and is a predicted model, not a curated record. NCBI's taxonomy places the organism in Eukaryota, Viridiplantae, Streptophyta, Magnoliopsida, Fabales, Fabaceae. The transcript is spliced from 2 exons.